This 798-nucleotide ribosomal RNA is filed under the name uncultured Glomeromycotina. Its description in RNAcentral is "SSU rRNA". It matches the Rfam family "Eukaryotic small subunit ribosomal RNA", at positions 314 to 1114 of the family's 1831-position model. The record is from RNAcentral. Lineage: Eukaryota; Fungi; Glomeromycota.
AUCAACUUUCGAUGGUAGGAUAGAGGCCUACCAUGGUGGUAACGGGUAACGGGGUGUUAGGGCACGACACCGGAGAGGGAGCCUGAGAAACGGCUACCACAUCCAAGGAUGGCAGCAGGCGCGCAAAUUACCCAAUCCCAACACGGGGAGGUAGUGACAAUAAAUAACAAUACGGGGUUCUUAUGGAUCUUGUAAUUGGAAUGAGUACAAUUUAAAUCUCUUAACGAGGAACAAUUGGAGGGCAAGUCUGGUGCCAGCAGCCGCGGUAAUUCCAGCUCCAAUAGCGUAUAUUAAAGUUGUUGCAGUUAAAAAGCUCGUAGUUGAAUUUCGGGAUUAGUAGGUUGGUCGUGCCUCUGGUAUGUACUCGCCUUACUGGUUCCUCCUUCUUGAAGAACUGUAAUGCCAUUAAUUUGGUGUUGCAGGGAAACAGGACUGUUACUUUGAAAAAAUUAGAGUGUUUAAAGCAGGCCAACGCCUGAAUACAUUAGCAUGGAAUAAUGAAAUAGGACGUUGAUCCUAUUUUGUUGGUUUCUAGGAUUGACGUAAUGAUUAAUAGGGAUAGUUGGGGGCAUUAGUAUUCAAUUGUCAGAGGUGAAAUUCUUGGAUUUAUUGAAGACUAACUACUGCGAAAGCAUUUGCCAAGGAUGUUUUCAUUAAUCAAGAACGAAAGUUAGGGGAUCGAAGACGAUCAGAUACCGUCGUAGUCUUAACCAUAAACUAUGCCGACUAGGGAUCGGAUGAUGUUAAUUUUUUAAUGACUCAUUCGGCGCCUUACGGGAAACCAAAGUGUUUGGGUUC